UUUUUUGAUAUUUUAAAAUUGCCCCAUAUAAAAUUUCAGAACUAAACCCUCAUUUCAACUGCUUGCUACCUUCUUCCUCUUCGCGAUGACCCUCCGCUUCUUCCCCUACCCUUGAGGCUUUGCUCUCAAAAAGCGCUGCCGUCACUGAUGACGACAUCACCGCUGUUGCUCCUCUUCAUAAUCAUCAUCAUGUUCCUCAUCAGUUCCCGCAGGUGUCCACCGUUGAAGGCUUAUCUUCCUCCGCGGCUGAGCCUUUUGCCAAUGGGAUUCAUGCUGCGGUAACAAGUGGAGUCUCAGCACCCUCGUUAUUAUCAGGAGGCGGUGGUGGUAAAGGAGAAGGGGCAGUUGCGAUGGCAAACCCUCAUUUCAACUGCUUGCUACCUUCUUCCUCUUCGCGAUGACCCUCCGCUUCUUCCCCUACCCUUGAGGCUUUGCUCUCAAAAAGCGCUGCCGUCACUGAUGACGACAUCACCGCUGUUGCUCCUCUUCAUAAUCAUCAUCCUGUUCCUCAUCAGUUUCCGCAGGUGUCCGCCGUUGAAGGCUCAUCCUCCUCCGCGGCUGAGCCUUUUGCCAAUGGGAUUCAUGCUGCGGUGGCAAGUGGAGUCUCAGCACCCUCGUUAUCAUCAGGAGGCGGUAGUGGUGAAGGAGAAGGGGCAGUUGCGGUGGCAAAGGAGAAGAGAAGGGCGGUGGAGGAACCAGUGGACAAGGCCAGCCUUCAGAAGCAGAGACGCAUGAUCAAGAAUCGUGAGUCUGCUGCUAGGUCUAUGAACGCAAACAGGCUGAAAAGAAAGAGGUUGAAGGAGAAGAAGGAGGUGCUUGAUGAGAAUGAGUGGUGGGACAAGAUAGGGAAGAUGAAGAUGCUUGGGAAAAAAAAGCCAUGCUUAUAAUAAAGGGAAAACUCUAGUUGUAAGCAAAGUUCCUUUGCCUGAUUACCGUGCAAAUCUUGACGAGCGUCAUGGAUCAACACAGAAAGAGAUAGAGUAUAUCUUCCCUUUUUCAAUGUCUGAUUUCUGUUUUUGUGUGGAAGGAUUUAGAAAUGUACUUAACUUUGUUAAGUGUUCUGAAAAUUAGAAUGUCUACAGAUAUUGAACAAAGAGUAAGAAAUCUUUUGAAUAACUCACAAUCAGUGGGGGAAGCGUCUUCUAGUUUUCCUUCUGUAUCCACUGACUUGGGACAGAAACAAUCAUUAACUGCUACGAAAUCUAUCUCUUCACAACAGAGUGAUUUUUGAAAGGAUAAACUUAAUGUUGCUCUAAAGGAAAGGCAGGAACAACACAGCUUCCACAAUUCAUUCUGGAAGAGGAAAUAGGAUCCUUGCGCUGGGGCUGAUUGCAAACUAAUUUGUACUCAACCUUGUUUUUACUCAACUUUGUUGUAAUUUAUGUUAUUUGAUACUAGUUUUUUUGCCUAUUGCAUCGAGUUGUUUAACAAUAUUUGGAUCUUAUGCAACAAUAUUAUUUGAUUUUUUCCUUAA
This is a non-coding RNA of Arachis ipaensis, 1474 nucleotides long. Lineage: Eukaryota; Viridiplantae; Streptophyta; Magnoliopsida; Fabales; Fabaceae. The record is from RefSeq and is a predicted model, not a curated record.